GCUAGCGUUAUCCGGAUUUACUGGGCGUAAAGGGGGCGUAGGCGGUCUUUCAAGUCAGGAGUGAAAGGCUACGGCUCAACCGUAGUAAGCUCUUGAAACUGGGAGACUUGAGUGCAGGAGAGGAGAGGGGAAUUCCUAGUGUAGCGGUGAAAUGCGUAGAUAUUAGGAGGAACACCAGUUGCGAAGGCGGCUCUCUGGACUGUAACUGACGCUGAGGCACGAAAGCGUGGGGAGCAAACAGGAUUAGAUACCCUGGUAGUCCACGCUGUAAACGAUGAGUACUAGGUGUCGGGGGUUACCCCC
Molecule: ribosomal RNA, 303 nt
Filed under: Clostridioides difficile
Lineage: Bacteria; Bacillati; Bacillota; Clostridia; Peptostreptococcales; Peptostreptococcaceae
Description: bacterial SSU rRNA
Rfam family: Bacterial small subunit ribosomal RNA
Source: RNAcentral